Long non-coding RNA from Girardinichthys multiradiatus, 270 nucleotides. RefSeq lists it as uncharacterized. The transcript is spliced from 3 exons. Lineage: Eukaryota; Metazoa; Chordata; Actinopteri; Cyprinodontiformes; Goodeidae. The record is from RefSeq and is a predicted model, not a curated record.
CCAACUUUGAAGGUCUGAACUUUAAAAGCUCGGUGACGGAGGCUGCUGGUGGCAGAAAAUGACAGCUGAUAGCGAAAGAAGUGGAAAAUUGCAAAGCUCACACCGACAGAGUGAAGAAUCCACCUACACAGAAGCAGGAUCAAGGUCUGUUUUUGUCUCGUCUCACCUUUUUCCUGCGGCUGCGUGCUGGCAAUGAUCCAUUUCACCAGGCAGCACUUCAUUAGAGCUUUCCUGGAGAACCUCGGCUUCUGCCACUUCCCUGAAUCCUUC